UACGUAGGGGGCAAGCGUUGUCCGGAUUUAUUGGGCGUAAGGAGCGUGUAGGCGGCUUGGCAAGUCCGCUGUGAAAACUCGAGGCUCAACCUCGAGACGUCGGUGGAAACUGCCUGGCUAGAGUCCGGAAGAGGAGUGUGGAAUUCCUGGUGUAGCGGUGAAAUGCGCAGAUAUCAGGAAGAACACCUAUGGCGAAGGCAGCACUCUGGGACGGUACUGACGCUGAGACGCGAAAGCGUGGGGAGCGAACAGG
Molecule: ribosomal RNA, 253 nt
Filed under: uncultured bacterium
Lineage: Bacteria
Description: partial 16S ribosomal RNA
Rfam family: Bacterial small subunit ribosomal RNA
Source: RNAcentral